Molecule: ribosomal RNA, 253 nt
Filed under: uncultured bacterium
Lineage: Bacteria
Description: partial 16S ribosomal RNA
Rfam family: Bacterial small subunit ribosomal RNA
Source: RNAcentral
UACAGAGGUCCCAAGCGUUGUUCGGAUUCAUUGGGCGUAAAGGGUGUGUAGGUGGCGCCGUAAGUCGGGUGUGAAAUCUCGGGGCUUAACUCCGAAACUGCAUUCGAUACUGCGGUGCUCGAGGACUGGAGAGGAGACUGGAAUUCAUGGUGUAGCAGUGAAAUGCGUAGAGAUCAUGAGGAAGACCAGUGGCGAAGGCGGGUCUCUGGACAGUUCCUGACACUGAGGAGCGAAAGCCAGGGGAGCAAACGGG